Long non-coding RNA from Struthio camelus australis, 3645 nucleotides. The record is from Ensembl. NCBI's taxonomy places the organism in Eukaryota, Metazoa, Chordata, Aves, Struthioniformes, Struthionidae.
GCGCGCUCCGGGCCUGGGGACGGUGGGGACUUGGGGCCACCUGCCCCGCUGUGGGGCUCCCCGUGUGCCCAGCUCGCGUCCUGCCCCGAAGGAGGGCUGGCGCUCGGGGGCUUUUCCCCAGCUCUGCCCCGACUCGCUGCCCGCCCUUGGGCGCAUCGCGGGACGCCCUGGCCGUGCUCUGCGUUUUCCCUCCUCCCCGGAGCAGCCCAGCCGCUUCUCUCUCCUGCCUGCUGCUUUCUGGGAUUUAAUCUGGGCGUGGGAUUGUUAUUUUUUGGGUUCCCAAGGAUGCCGCCGCGCAGGCGGCGGGGACAGCUGACUGCAGCAGCUGUGGGGUAGCGUGCGGCAGAGGGAGAGGGAUGGGUGUGGGAGGGAAGGAGGUGUACUGUGAGCAAUGACCCCUCGCUGCUCCCGGUUUGCGUCCAGGCUGGAGUCCCUGGUGGAUAACAACGCACCAGCGCUGACAGGAGCUUUUCCCAUGGUUUACUUCCUGCUGGAGCUUCUCUGGUGCCUAGGAGAAGGGCUGAGCUCUAGCUGCAGCCUUUCUUGAGGGGUUAGGGGAAAAUAGAUGUAACCUUUCUUGUCUCCUUGUUUUCAUGCAAUGUGAAGGGAGCAAAUAUCCCUGAGACGUCUGCUCCUCCAGCAAAUGUGGCUGAGAUUGGGCAAUGGGUUAAAAUGUUACUGGGGGAAGGGACUCUCCCACGCGCACACACGCAUACUCAAAGCAGGAUCGAAUAAGCAUCGUUUCCAUAGGAAAACAGGCUAAAUAUAACCAGCAUCCGUCCCUGCCACCGAGGAGGUCUUCCAUGUGCAGCACUGGCCCAGCUGGAGAAGUCCAUAGUGGGGAUUUGUCCUGUUGUGAGACGGGGGAAAUCCAGUGGCUUUCAGCAGCGAGUAUCAUACAAGCAAGAAUGUCUUGGCAGGCUGGCCUUCCCGUUAGGAAAACAGAUGUUUCUACAGCAAUUGAAGUUUUGUGAAGAGCUUCCCCUCAGCCUUGGAGGGACAAGAAUCAGCAAUGCCUACCUGAGAGCUGUCGACGUGAAGAUCCUGCAGCAGCUGGUGGUGGUGAACGAGGGCAUCGAGGCAGUGAAAUGGCUGCUGGAGGAGAAGAGGACGCUGACCAGCCGCUGCCGCCNNNNNNNNNNNNNNNNNNNNNNNNNNNNNNNNNNNNNNNNAAUGACAGGCGGCACAGCAUCUCCACCGGCAGCUCCCUGGACACACGGGCUGAUGACAUGGAUGAGUAUUCCCAGAACGCUGCCGAGCCUGUCACAGCAUCCGCACCAGGCAGAGCCCUGGCCAGGGCAGAGCAGGACUGGGCCAGGAUUGACCUCGACCGGGGCUUACCUGCAAAGCAAGAGAAGGGCAAAGUGGAGCAUGAGUGGCCCCAUGCAGACCACCUGCUUGCUGGGCUGCCCCAGGAUCAGAGUUGUCUGGACCAGCAACGGUUUGCUAAGGAGCCCCAAGUGGCCAAUGGCUAUUUGGGCAAGCAGCCCUCCUCUCUGGAACCAGGCAAAGACACCAAACUGCCACCAGGGGCUGGGGAAAGGAUGGGGAAGGGGAUCCCAGGUGGGAAGGCUCGGAAAGCUGAAGCUGACUUAGAGAACUGCAAAUUCAACAGCAAAGCGCACCUGGAAUAUGACGCCCACUGGCGCUGGCUCCAGUCUCAGGAUGAUGUGACGUUCUUGUAGCCUAUGGCUUCACGUUUUCCCAGUCCAGCUCUGCCAACCAUCUGCUCUGCUUCAUGUGUUUCUGCUUGGGAGAGUGGUAUGGCUAGGGAGCGGGAGAUGGGCUGGCUUGGCUGUGUCGUGCUGUCCCUCUGACCCCUCUGGCAGUGUUUGGUGAUACAGCACCAGGGGCUUGGGGUGGGGUGCCCACCCCGUGGCAAAUUCCCUGGGAGAGGCAGGGCAAGGUGGGUCCCUGUAAGUUUAAUCCUUUGCUACAGGGUGAUGCUUGCAUGUAGCUGGUCCCAUGAGGGGACCUGGUGGCUGGUCACUCCUCCAUUGUCCUUGAAGAGGGACAUUUGCUUGAGCUGGCAGUGAAGGGUUGGUGGAGGACACCUGGGAAGACAGGACUCCUGGGUUCUCUCCUUGGCUCUGCCUCAGUCCUCUCUUCCUCAGCCGCUCAUCUGCAAAAACUGGGGACCCUUCCCCAAACCCACUACCCAGACAGGACAGGAGAUGCUCCCACACAUCCACAGCUUCGUGGCACCAGCCUGCUUGAUGCAAUCUGUGGGGCAGGACUGUGAGCAGAGUGCUCUGAGCAUCUCUAUGGGACAGGCUCAUCUCCAACAUCUCUUUUAAGGCCAGUGUCUAUCAAGGGUGAUUACACAUGAGAAGAGCAGAGCACUUGGUGGGAGAUGGAGAUCCAGUUUUCCUCUUUUGUUUUUGGACCUUGUGACCAAAACACAAGGAGACCCCAGAUGAGCAGUGCUGGUCUUGAUAAAGUGGAAGUGUAUGGACAGCCUGGCAGAGUCUGUGGGGUUCAAACUACUGUUGAAAGUCUUGUGCUUUCCCCUGGUACAGCAUGAUGGAGGCGAUGGCCGGGAUUCUCCAUCUGUGUGCUGAAUGGUGGCAGGUCCCUGCAGCCAGCCAGCAACCAGAAACAUGAGGUUCUUCUGCAGGGGUGGAUUUACUAUGACCCUGCUCUAGAGACAUCUCUCCUUUUAGCCUUGGCUUCUUCCUGUGCCUUUUACCAUCCACGUGCUAUGCUUUCCAGCACACCCUCUCGCUAUCUUAUAGAGCAUGGCUUACAACUGGAGCUGUGUUAGCUUGGCAGAAACCGCUCCCUGUAAACAAGGAUACAGGGAAGGACCUUGGCAUCCUGUAGCCUCCGCUUCGAGGAGAGGGGCUCUUCCACCUGCACAGCCGUUGGGAGACGAGCCUGGAGUGCCCUGGCUUUACUACCUGUGAGUGCAUCUGCUCCUGGCUGAGCAUGGAGACAGCCUCUUUCGGGGCUUGGUGCUGUUGUUCCCCUCCGUCUGUGAAUCCCAGCCUGACUCUUUCCUCAUUGUGGUGAUGGAAGUUGGGAUAAUGUCUCCUGAAGUCACUGGGAAACCAAGAGAGGGGGGAAGACGUUGUGAAUGUUUCUAGAGCAGAAGUAGUAUGGGCUGGACGUAUUUAGGAAGGUGGUUGGGGGCACGCUGGGGUCUGCCAGAGUUCAGCCUUGCUCCUCUGAAGCGGCAUCUUCAGUGGGACUCCCCUCCUUGCUGAGUCUUGUGAGCACCCUCCUUCCCCACAGCAGCAGGGGUGAUCCUCAGGGCUCUCCUGGGUGGACACGGAGAGCUUUUUGCAUUCAUGGCCAAGAGCAGGGCAAAACUCAAAUUCUCGGAGAUGGUGUCUGUCAAGGUCCUGGGGGAAUCCCAACAAACCAGAGGUGGGCUGCCCUACGCAAGCGCAUCCCAUCUGCCUGCCCUUGAGUAGCUGCGCUUGGCUUGUGAUCAUCUGUAAGCACCUUAUAGCUUCCUGAAUAGGUGGCCAUGCCACUGCCAGCUGAGCCACUGCCCUCGAGCUGUCUGUCCCCGGCUUUUCUUUAGCCCCGCGUGCAAUGAAUCAACUGUGGGUCCCGGGGGAGAUUGGGUAAGUCCUCCAACGCUAUUGAAAACCAUUGUCAACAAAAAUAGCUGGCUUAAUAAAUGGUAGCGUUUCUGCA